UAGAAUAGUUAGAGUGGGGAAGGACCUUAAGAUCCUCCAGUUCCAGCCCCCCUGCCAUGGGCAGGGACACCUCACACUAAACCAUGUCAUCCAGGGCUCUGUCCAACCUGGCCUUGAACACCGCCAAGGAUGGAGCAUUCACAACUUCCCUGGGCAACAUACAAACAAAAACCCCAAAACAACUUACUAGACAUUAAUUACUCCACAUCAGCUUUGCUAUGAGCAAACUUUUCCUACUGCUGAGCAAACCCAAGAGUUAAUUGCCACAUACUAAAUUCCACAUGACUGCAUAACAAAAAACAUUGCUUGCCAAUAGAAGAGUUUUAUAUGUAGGCCAUUUGACAUCUAUAAAUGUCAAGGAUAGGUAAAGUUUAUGACUGAAAAUUAUGGGUUGGAAAUAGCAGUAAAAAUGGAGAGAAUCUGUGAUUACAGCAAAACUGGGUGGAGAGAAGCCACCCAGUUGGCAAGUUCCGUUUAUCAAGUUGGUUGGUUUGUAAACCAGAGGUUGACUCUUUACACUGUAGGAGCAUGUGAUAAAAACUUCUGAAAAUUCAUCUCAAGGUGCAGAUAAGUUUUUCCACUCAGUUCUAUAUAUUUUCCCUGUCAUCCACUUUCCAGGUUUCUUUUCAGUCUUUUCUGCAUCUACCCUUAAUUUUUCAUUAGAAGGUGCAAUGGCUUCUGAAUCUUUAAAAACCAGAAAAAGUACUCCCAGACAAGUACUCUUUUGGGUCGGAGAACUGAAUAUUUUCCUCUCAAGUCCAGUCUUAAUCUAGUGGCACUUCUCAGCUCUCACUUCACCUCCUUGAUGAAACUGAUCUUUACAGCGAUUCACCCUGACCAGAUGAGGGUACCAGAGGCCACUUUGUUUAGGUAACUUUUACUGUCUAAGCAAAAGCUCUUCAAGCAGGAUAAGCACAAUUGAAAAUCAAAGCCCAAGAAUUUCUCAGCCAAAAUACAUAACAAAUACAGAGCUAGGACUAGUAAACUGCUUGAUUAAGCACAUGCUCACUGCCCUGGGUAAGAUGUCCUGCGGCUCUUUGCUUUUCAGAAGAGCAUCAGUCAGGUGGGGAGAGGCUGAUCUCCAUUGCUCUGUGGAGCAGAGACAUUCACAGUGUUGCUGAGCUGCAUCUUGUUGUAGGCAUAUAGUGAAAAAGUUGGAGCUUGUAUUACUAUGGAAAAGCCUGAACAAAUACAAAGACCUCCUAAAAGGUCAGGAUGAUCUGAAAACAACACUGACUAAUGAAGAGAACUGGUACCCGUGGAGGAGGCUUUGGGCUUGUGUAGGCAGAUUAAGAAACAGGCCCAAUGAAUCUCUAAUCAGGAGAGACUGUCCUUGAAGACUGGUACAUCUUGAAAACACAUGGACAUCAAUCAGCAAGAUAUAACUUUGAUGCAUCAGCACCACAUGAUUAGGGAGUCCUUUAGGGAGUCCCAUUAUUAGGGAGUGUUUUCAUUAUAGUCUCAUUCUAAUGCUGAAAAUCAUGUCUACAGGUCAAAAGACUCCUGCUUGAGUGAAAAAACUCUUCCCUGAGCAUGCAUGGCAAGGAGUCCAUGAUGUAAACUUACUCAGUGAGCUGACCAGUUGUAAAUGGUGGAAGGGUUAUGGGGAAUUACCAACCUGAACUGAACUGUGUAUAAGUGUGAAUUUUUGCAUGGGGUGAUGUGCUAGCUUUGCGGGAUACCACAUAGCACACCUUUUUUUGUGCAAACUUGGAAUAAACAGACACCUUGUCUCUGUGUGUGAAUUGGCUGCUGCACACCUGGACAACAUUCUGGCCUCCUGAUUUGAUUUUAGGAUUUUACACUUUUUAUAUCAGAGCUAUCCUCAAAUCCUUAUGAUGCUUUACAACUUCAACAGCUUCGCCUCUAUUUGUUACUUUUCUCUCUUGGUGAGGCUUUAGCUCAUGUGGUUUUUUCACAUCUUAACAAUUUUUUUUUAUCAAAGUGACUCAAAUUUACUCAGCUGUUCUACGGCAAUCUUGCCCUUGGAUGAGAGACACCCAUGGCUCAAGCCUGCUGCACUGCUACAAUUGCAAAGACAGCCACCUAUCUCCACCCUUCUCUGCCUCAGCACCUCUAAACAGUGACUUGUGAAUGUCCUGCUCUAGCUCUAUCUCUGCUCUAGCUUCUUCCGUGUAUUUCUGUCAAUGCGAAGUCCAUAUCCAAUGCAUCCUGACUCUUCUAGCUUAGAGCAGGUCCUUGCCCCCAGAUUUUGCUCUUGUGCAUAUAAGACCAGUCUGGUUUUCAGGAAUGCCAGCCUCUUUCAGCUCACUCAAGGCUGAUGAGCAGAAUCAAGCUCACAGGUGGUCCUUCCUGGCCUACCUCUUCCUUGAGGGAGUGAGUGAUGUGUGGGGCAGGCAACGGACAUCCUCCGUACAGCCACAGAGAGCAGGCUUUGUAGAGCUGCUGUCUGUAUCCUCACUGCCCAGGGCAACGAGACAUAAACAUGGGCAUAGGUGACUGGUGGAAGACCAAGAGGACUCACACUUUGUCUGGGUAAUCUCUCUUUGCUCAUUCACUGAAAGCAAGGAAAAAAACACAGUGGUUAGCAGGUACACUACAAGGACUGGUUGGAUAAGUAGUGUCUCCAUGAGCUCUCUACCCGUGGUAGAGCAUGGUCAUUGUCUACAUGUUCUAGAGCCCCAUUGUCAAAGUGUAGAUGAAUACUCCUGCAUGAAACCCAUUUAGGAAGCACUGAAUCGUAGAAUCGUAGAAUCAUAGAAUGGUUUGGGUUGGAAGGGACCUCAAAGAUCAUCCAGUUCCAACAACCUAAAUGUGAAAUCUCAGGGUGUUUCUUAACAGGGUGAUUAGUAUGUGGCAGUUACCUGGUGUACAGGUUUUUUUUUUAACAGGGUGUUUUUAGUUAGGAUGAUUUUCAAGAAUGCUUUUUGUUUUCAGCUUCCAUCAGUGCUGGAGAGAUAGACACGUUCUAGAUUGUCCAGAAAGGAUUUCAACAGGGCCCUAAUAUUGAGCUUUUUGUUCUGCAGAUACAGAGAUAUUACAGUGUCCUGAUUACAGAAGUACUUCUGGGCUAAGCACUCAGUACUGAGAAAAAGAGAAUGGAGCUGCUUUGAAAAUCAACACAUAAAGCAGAAUUUUACAAGACUCAGGCUUUAGACUUUCUUGUUUUAAACUCUCAGGCUUGGAAAAAGCCCACACAAAGUCCUAAAAGGGACACAGUUCUUUGAAGCUCUCUUGACACUUUAGCCAAUAUAAAAUGAGGGACUGUGUCAUGGAAAGAAGCAAUUGUGAAAAUCACUAAACCUGCAUAUCCUUGACAGUGCUGUAGCAAGAGGUAUUAAAGUGGUAAUCAUUGGAUGUAUAAAUCAUCAGAGCCUUUUCAUUUUCUUUGCUUGUCUGUUGUGCUCAGAUUUGCCUGCUUUGAAGAUCAGUUUGAGCAAUUCUCCUUUCAGUCUUGUGUCAUUGUGCAUAAUUACACACAUUGUUCUCCAGUCCUUGAGGAAAAACAGAAAUAUAUUUUGAUGUUCUAGUUUACUCUGUGACUGUUGCAGAGCAAAACGCUAACUGGAAGUCAACUCUUCAAAACAUUUCAAGGUUAUUGAAUAACUUUGCGUUUGAGAUGUUAUUAAUUAGUGCUGCCCUUGUUGCUCAAGUGGAUCAUCAAAUGCAAGGCCUU
Pezoporus occidentalis (night parrot) is the source of this 3637-nucleotide long non-coding RNA. RefSeq lists it as uncharacterized. The record is from RefSeq and is a predicted model, not a curated record. The transcript is spliced from 3 exons. NCBI's taxonomy places the organism in Eukaryota, Metazoa, Chordata, Aves, Psittaciformes, Psittacidae.